UGUUCGGUUUCUUUUGAAACCACACAUUCAACAAUUUAUAUUUGGU
This 46-nucleotide non-coding RNA is filed under the name Helianthus annuus (common sunflower). Its description in RNAcentral is "sRNA HanXRQr2_Chr12g0530641". It matches the Rfam family "Histone 3' UTR stem-loop". From Rfam's summary of the family: The mRNAs of metazoan histone genes lack a poly-A tail. 3' end processing occurs at a site between a highly conserved stem-loop (modelled by this family) and a purine rich region around 20 nts downstream (the histone downstream element, or HDE). The stem-loop is bound by a 31 kDa stem-loop binding protein (SLBP - also termed the histone hairpin binding protein, or HBP). RNAcentral also lists the same sequence under 1 other name. Lineage: Eukaryota; Viridiplantae; Streptophyta; Magnoliopsida; Asterales; Asteraceae. The record is from RNAcentral.